GAAGCUUUUUAUUGUCUUUUUU
RNAcentral lists this small RNA (22 nucleotides) under Arabidopsis thaliana (thale cress). RNAcentral describes it as "ATSL143060". The record is from RNAcentral. Lineage: Eukaryota; Viridiplantae; Streptophyta; Magnoliopsida; Brassicales; Brassicaceae.